RNAcentral lists this ribosomal RNA (493 nucleotides) under uncultured bacterium. Its description in RNAcentral is "bacterial SSU rRNA". It matches the Rfam family "Bacterial small subunit ribosomal RNA", at positions 8 to 507 of the family's 1533-position model. The record is from RNAcentral.
AGAGUUUGAUCAUGGCUCAGGAUGAACGCUAGCGGCAGGCCUAAUACAUGCAAGUCGAACGCUCAGUAGCAAUACUGGGAGUGGCGCACGGGUGCGUAACGCGUACACAAUCUACCUCUAAGCGGGGGACACCUCCUGGAAAUUUGGAUUAAUACCCCAUAGUAUAAUGAAGUGGCAUCACUUUAUUAUUAAAGAUUUAUCACUCGAAGAUGGCUGUGCGGCUGAUUAGGUAGUUGGCGGGGUAAAGGCCCACCAAGCCUGCGAUCAGUAACUGGUGUGAGAGCACGACCAGUCACACGGGCACUGAGACACGGGCCCGACUCCUACGGGAGGCAGCAGUAAGGAAUAUUGGUCAAUGGAGGCAACUCUGAACCAGCCAUGCCGCGUGGAGGAUGAAGGUCCUCUGGAUUGUAAACUUCUUUUAUAUGGGACGAAAAAGGCUUUUCUAAGUCGUCUGUCGGUACCAUAUGAAUAAGCACCGGCUAACUCCGUG